RNAcentral lists this ribosomal RNA (507 nucleotides) under uncultured bacterium. RNAcentral describes it as "bacterial SSU rRNA". It matches the Rfam family "Bacterial small subunit ribosomal RNA", at positions 28 to 527 of the family's 1533-position model. The record is from RNAcentral.
GACGAACGCUGGCGGCGUGGAUUAGGCAUGCAAGUCGAACGGUAUCAUCCUUUCGGGGGUGAGAGAGUGGCGAACUGGUGAGUAACACGUAGGUUAUCUACCCUCAAGACGGGGACAACCCAGGGAAACUUGGGCUAAUACCGGAUGUGAGCAACUUUUAGUUGUUUGAAAGGUGGCGUAAGCUGUCGCUUGGGGAUGAGCCUGCGUCCUAUUAGUUAGUUGGUGAGGUAACGGCUCACCUAGGCAAUGAUAGGUAGGCGGCCUUAACGGGUGGUCGCCCACACUGGGAUUGAGAUACGGCCCAGACUCCUACGGGAGGCAGCAGUCGAGAAUAGUCUACAAUGGUCGGAAGACUGAUAGUGCGACGCCGCGUGAACGAUGAAUCCCUUCGGGGUGUAAAGUUCUUUUAUAUGUGAGCAGUGCUUCUUAUAUUAAGAGUAUGGGGAGAGAGAUAUUAGCAUAUGAAUAAGCAACGGCUAACUCCGUGCCAGCAGCCGCGGUAAUACG